This 468-nucleotide ribosomal RNA is filed under the name Escherichia coli. RNAcentral's name for it is "bacterial SSU rRNA". It matches the Rfam family "Bacterial small subunit ribosomal RNA", at positions 1037 to 1505 of the family's 1533-position model. Lineage: Bacteria; Pseudomonadati; Pseudomonadota; Gammaproteobacteria; Enterobacterales; Enterobacteriaceae. The record is from RNAcentral.
GGUGCUGCAUGGCUGUCGUCAGCUCGUGUUGUGAAAUGUUGGGUUAAGUCCCGCAACGAGCGCAACCCUUAUCCUUUGUUGCCAGCGGUCCGGCCGGGAACUCAAAGGAGACUGCCAGUGAUAAACUGGAGGAAGGUGGGGAUGACGUCAAGUCAUCAUGGCCCUUACGACCAGGGCUACACACGUGCUACAAUGGCGCAUACAAAGAGAAGCGACCUCGCGAGAGCAAGCGGACCUCAUAAAGUGCGUCGUAGUCCGGAUUGGAGUCUGCAACUCGACUCCAUGAAGUCGGAAUCGCUAGUAAUCGUGGAUCAGAAUGCCACGGUGAAUACGUUCCCGGGCCUUGUACACACCGCCCGUCACACCAUGGGAGUGGGUUGCAAAAGAAGUAGGUAGCUUAACCUUCGGGAGGGCGCUUACCACUUUGUGAUUCAUGACUGGGGUGAAGUCGUAACAAGGUAACCGUAG